This 253-nucleotide ribosomal RNA is filed under the name uncultured bacterium. Its description in RNAcentral is "partial 16S ribosomal RNA". It matches the Rfam family "Bacterial small subunit ribosomal RNA", at positions 524 to 776 of the family's 1533-position model. The record is from RNAcentral.
UACGAAGGGUGCAAGCGUUAAUCGGAAUUACUGGGCGUAAAGCGCGCGUAGGUGGUUCAGUAAGUUGGAAGUGAAAUCCACGGGCUCAACCUGGGAACUGCUUUCAAAACUGCUGAGCUAGAGUACGGUAGAGGGUGGUGGAAUUUCCUGUGUAGCGGUGAAAUGCGUAGAUAUAGGAAGGAACACCAGCGGCGAAGGCGACCACCUGGACUGAUACUGACACUGAGGUGCGAAAGCGUGGGGAGCAAACAGG